RNAcentral lists this ribosomal RNA (119 nucleotides) under Amphiprion percula (orange clownfish). The record is from RNAcentral. Lineage: Eukaryota; Metazoa; Chordata; Actinopteri; Pomacentridae.
GCUUACGGCCAUAUCAGUCUGAAUACGCCCGAUCUCGUCUGAUCUCGGAAGCUAAGCAGGGUCGGGCCUGGUUAAUACUUGGAUGGGAGACCGCCUGGGAAUACCAGGUGCUGUAAACC